This 387-nucleotide ribosomal RNA is filed under the name uncultured bacterium. Its description in RNAcentral is "bacterial SSU rRNA". It matches the Rfam family "Bacterial small subunit ribosomal RNA", at positions 28 to 417 of the family's 1533-position model. The record is from RNAcentral.
GACAAACGCUGGCGGCGUGCUUAACACAUGCAAGUCGAGCGGUAAGGCCCUUUCGGGGUACGACGAGCGGCGAACGGGUGAGUAACACGUGGGUGACCUGCCCUCAGCUCUGGGAUAAGCCUGGGAAACCGGGUCUAAUACUGGAUAUGACUCCAUGACGCAUGUUGUGGGGUGGAAAGCCUUGUGCGGCUGAGGAUGGGCCCGCGGCCUAUCAGCUUGUUGGUGGGGUGAGGCCUACCAAGGCGACGACGGGUAGCCGGCCUGAGAGGGCGACCGGCCACACUGGGACUGAGACACGGCCCAGACUCCUACGGGAGGCAGCAGUGGGGAAUCUUGCGCAAUGGGCGAAAGCCUGACGCAGCGACGCCGCGUGAGGGAUGACGGCCU